RNAcentral lists this ribosomal RNA (634 nucleotides) under uncultured bacterium. RNAcentral's name for it is "bacterial SSU rRNA". It matches the Rfam family "Bacterial small subunit ribosomal RNA", at positions 9 to 618 of the family's 1533-position model. The record is from RNAcentral.
GAGUUUGAUCCUGGCUCAGAAUGAACGCUGGCGGCGUGCUUAACACAUGCAAGUCGUACGAGAACUCUUCUGCUUGCAGAAGAUAGUAAAGUGGCGCACGGGUGAGUAACGCGUGGGUAAUCUACCCUCGACUCGGGGAUAACAUUGCGAAAGCGAUGCUAAUACCGGAUAACAUCAUUACAACCUUGGUUUUAAUGAUCAAAGGUGGCCUCUACAUGUAAGCUUCCGAUUGAGGAUGAGCCCGCGUACCAUUAGCUUGUUGGUGGGGUAACGGCCCACCAAGGCCGCGAUGGUUAGCUGGUCUGAGAGGAUGAUCAGCCACACUGGAACUGACACACGGUCCAGACUCCUACGGGAGGCAGCAGUGAGGAAUUUUGCGCAAUGGGGGAAACCCUGACGCAGCAACGCCGCGUGAGUGAUGAAGGCUUUCGGGUCGUAAAGCUCUGUCGAGUGGGAAGAAAAACCAGACACCAAUAAUAUCUGGGACUGACGGUACCACUGAAGGAAGCACCGGCUAACUCCGUGCCAGCAGCCGCGGUAAUACGGGGGGUGCAAGCGUUAAUCGGAAUUACUGGCCGUAAAGCGCGCUAAGCGGCUUGUGAGUCAAUGUGAAAGCCCCGGGCCUUAACCUGGG